ACUUUCAACAACGGAUCUCUUGGUUCCGGCAUCGAUGAAGAACGCAGCGAAAUGCGAUACGUAAUGUGAAUUGCAAAUUCAGUGAAUCAUCGAGUCUUUGAACGCACAUUGCGCCCCCUGGUAUUCCGGGGGGCAUGCCUGUCCGAGCGUC
RNAcentral lists this ribosomal RNA (151 nucleotides) under Penicillium citrinum. RNAcentral describes it as "5.8S ribosomal RNA". It matches the Rfam family "5.8S ribosomal RNA". From Rfam's summary of the family: 5.8S ribosomal RNA (5.8S rRNA) is a component of the large subunit of the eukaryotic ribosome. It is transcribed by RNA polymerase I as part of the 45S precursor that also contains 18S and 28S rRNA. Functionally, it is thought that 5.8S rRNA may be involved in ribosome translocation. The record is from RNAcentral. Lineage: Eukaryota; Fungi; Ascomycota; Eurotiomycetes; Eurotiales; Aspergillaceae.